This 322-nucleotide ribosomal RNA is filed under the name uncultured fungus. RNAcentral describes it as "eukaryotic LSU rRNA". The stretch from base 1 to 71 matches the Rfam family "5.8S ribosomal RNA", at positions 84 to 154 of the family's 154-position model. Lineage: Eukaryota; Fungi. The record is from RNAcentral.
GUGAAUCAUCGAAUCUUUGAACGCACCUUGCGCCCCUUGGUAUUCCGAGGGGCAUGCCUGUUUGAGUGUCAUUAAAUCCUCAACCGCGCCGAUCGAUUUCGGUGGGGCUUGGACUUUGGAGCGUGCUGGCCUUCCGGGGUCGGCUCCUCUCAAAUGCAUCAGCGGAAUCUAACCUUUGGUUUCCGGAAGUCGGUGUGAUAAUCAUGUUGCGCCGUCGUCUGACCUCAAAGUCCGCUUACAAUGGUCUUUGGACAACUUAUCAAAUUUGACCUCAAAUCAGGUAGGACUACCCGCUGAACUUAAGCAUAUCAAUAAGCGGAGG